UAGUACUGUGAAGGAAAGGUGAAAAGCACCCCGGGAGGGGAGUGAAAAAGAACCUGAAACCCUGUGCCUACAAGCACCUAGAGCACGUCAAUGUGUGAUAGGGUACUUUUUGUAGAACGGUCCGGCGAGCGAUUGUAUGCAGCAAGGUUAAGGACUUAAGGUCUGGAGCCGAAGCGAAAGCGAGUUUGAAAAGGGCGUUAAGUUGCAUAUAAUGGGCCCGAAACCGGGUGACCUACCCAUGGUCAGGUUGAAGUGGAAGUAAAAUUCCAUGGAGGACCGAACCGACCUCCGUUGAAAAGGCGGCGGAUGAACUGUGGGUAGCGGAGAAAUUCCAAUCGAACCCGGAGAUAGCUGGUUCUCCCCGAAAUAGUUUUAGGACUAGCCUCAAGUUAGAUACCUGGAGGUAAAGCACUGAAUAGCCUAGCGGCCGAGAGGUUAGCGAAGCUUAUCAAACUCAGAAUGCCAGAGUAUUGAUGCUUGGGAGUCAGACAGUGUCAGAUAAAUGUCAUUGUCAAAAGGGAAACAGCCCAGAUCUACAGCUAAGGUCCCAAAGUCAGGUUAAGUGGAAAACGAUGUGAAGAUACGCAGACAACCAGGAUGUUGGCUCAGAAGCAGCCACUCAUUCAAAGAGUGCGUAAUAGCUCACUGGUCGAGCGUCUUUGCGCGGAGAAUUUAACGGGGCUAAACCUGACACCGAAGCUUAGGCAGCAUGAUUACAUGCUGGGUAGGGGAGCGUUGUAUACGCGGUGAAACAGUAGCGCAAGCGGCUGUGGAGUGUAUAGAAGUGAGAAUGCCGGAAUGAGUAGCGCGAAUGCAGUGAGAAUCUGCAUGGCCGAAAGCCUCAGGUUUCUGGAGGAAGGUUCGUCCGCUCCAGGUUAGUCGGGAGCUAAGGUGAGGCCUAACGGCGUAGCCGAUGCACAGACGGUAGAGAUUCCGUCACCACCAAAAGAGUUAAACACAGGGACACAUAUGAAGUCUCGGAGCCGGGUGUUGGUUCCGGUAGCGAUCGAGGGAAGUUAGUACCGAAGUCCGGGAUGGAAGAUGGCGAGAAAAGCUGUGUGAAUUUCUGCGGUGCCCGUACCGCAAACCGACACAGGUAGGUAGGAAGAAGAUUCUAAGGCCAACGGGAGAAGGGUUGUUAAGGAACUCGGCAAAUUGACCCCGUAACUUCGGGAGAAGGGGUGCUCCAGAGAUGGAGCCGCAGAGAAUCGGCCCAAGCAACUGUUUACCAAAAACACAGGUUUGUGCUAAAUCGAAAGAUGACGUAUACGAGCUGACGCCUGCCCGGUGCUGGAAGGUUAAGAGGAGAUGUGCAAGCAUUGAAUCGAAGCCCCAGUGAACGGCGGCCGUAACUAUAACGGUCCUAAGGUAGCGAAAUUCCUUGUCAGGUAAGUUCUGACCCGCAUGAAAGGCGUAAUGAUUUGGGCACUGUCUCAACAGCCCGCCCGGCGAAAUUGUAGUACCGGUGAAGAUGCCGGUUACCCGCGACAAGACGGAAAGACCCCAUGGAGCUUUACUGUAGCCUAAUAUUGGGUUUCGAUGUUGCAUGCACAGGAUAGAUGGGACACUGGGAAGCAGGUGCUUUGGCGCUUGUGGAGUGGCCGUUGGGAUACCAUCCUUGCGAUAUUGGAAUUCUAACCUGCGCCUUUGAAUCAAGGCGGGGGACAUUGUUAGGUGGGCAGUUUGACUGGGGCGGUCGCCUCCUAAAGAGUAACGGAGGCGUUCAAAGGUUCGCUCAGCUUGAACGGAAAUCAAGCAAAAGAGUGCAAACGCAGAAGCGAGCCUAACUGCGAGACUGACGGGUCGAGCAGUAACGAAAGUUGGAGUUAGUGAUCCGGUGGUAUGUGAGUGGAAAUGCCAUCGCUCAACGGAUAAAAGUUACCCUGGGGAUAACAGGCUGAUCUCCCCCAAGAGUCCACAUCGACGGGGAGGUUUGGCACCUCGAUGUCGGCUCAUCGCAUCCUGGGGCUGUAUUCGGUCCCAAGGGUUUGGCUGUUCGCCAAUUAAAGCGGUACGCGAGCUGGGUUCAGAACGUCGUGAGACAGUUCGGUCCCUAUCUGUCGUGGGCGCAGGAUAUUUGAUGGGAGCUGUUCCUAGUACGAGAGGACCGGAGCGGACGUACCUCUGGCGCACCAGUUGUUCUGCCAAGAGCAUAGCUGGGCAACUAUGUACGGAUCGGAUAAACGCUGAAAGCAUCUAAGCGUGAAGCCGACCCAAAGAUAAGAUAUCCCAUUGU
This 2236-nucleotide ribosomal RNA is filed under the name human gut metagenome. RNAcentral describes it as "bacterial LSU rRNA". It matches the Rfam family "Bacterial large subunit ribosomal RNA", at positions 496 to 2820 of the family's 2925-position model. The record is from RNAcentral.